GAAAUAAAAAGGACGUAAGGAUGUGCACGAUGCCCUUAUUCGGGCCAGAAAGUGGCAUCCUGAGCUGAAGGAACCUCCUGCUGCUCCUCCCUGCGCGGCCUGUGCCCCCCAGGGCUGUGGUCCUCGCCCUGGGCUCCUGUCUUCUCUAGACCGUACCCAAGGAACAGCUUUUGUCAUUGAUCAAAUGCUGCAGCUCUCCUGGAGCCAUUCAUCAAUUUCACCAGCUGUUUAUAGCUUUAUUUACUACAAAGGAAGCAAGAUGCCCAGGGGGCCAGUUCCUGCGUGCCACAGUCUGGCUGGGCAAAAUAACCCGGGGGGUGACAAGCAACUUGUGAAGAUUGAAACAGCGGGAGCCACUUUAUUACAGGACAGCAGAGGUAUAUAUACUUAACUAAUUACACACAGCUUAACUUAAUUAACAUCAUCUAGAUACAGCAGUUAGCCAUUAAGGAAUCCCCAUCAUCUUAAUGGCUCGAUGGCGUUACUUCACAAACCACUCCUCCUGGCAAAGUGCCAGGUGCCAUCUUGACUUGAUUGUGGCCCUCAACAUCUGCAGACCUGGGAGACCUGCCUGACUUACCUCCUCGCUGUCCUGCCCUAGUAGAGUUAGGCACUCCUGCUCUGUACCCCUGUGAUCUUGCUCAUGCUCCAACUACUUCACCUGUCACUCCAUUGCAUGUACCACCAGGUCCCCAGCAGGUAGCAACAGUGGCGGUCACAGAAUGUAUGCUCCCGUUGUCGAAGUCACUGGGUUGAAGCGGGAAAGAAGAGUCUGCCUCUCAAAUGGCGUUGAAGGGAUGAAACUUAAACACUUUCAAAACAUGGGACAAAUGUCUAAGCAAACAAACUUCGUCACUUCAAACUCACUAUCUGGCCCUAAGACAAAGACCUCGUUUUUUCCUCCAGUGUCACGACAUCAGUUAAAAUAGCAACAGGAGGUUCUUAUCGCAGGUCGCCAUGGUUUUCCCUUCUCCUGCCUUCUGUGCAUAUUUAUUUCCUGGCAAGCCACACAGCAGCAGAUGGAUGGCAUAGCCUGCCCUGCAUCGUCCACAGUCUGAAUCCAGCGUAAACUCCAGUCACCAUGUAAUUACAGGCACUUGCUAUUUUCACACUGUUCCCACCCAGGCUAAAAAUGCCCAUGUUUCUUUUUCUCCAUGGACUCACCAUGACUCUCCCCCAGCCUCUGAGGCUGGAGGCUCCCUGUGCUGAUCCACAUCCUCGUUCUUCACCAUCUGCACCACUCCACAGCAGCUCAUCCUCCAGGGCUCGCAGGGACGUCAACUGUCACGCAGAUGCUGCUGAAAUUGUCCUGAGCCCAGGGGUGU
RNAcentral lists this long non-coding RNA (1325 nucleotides) under Ictidomys tridecemlineatus (thirteen-lined ground squirrel). RNAcentral's name for it is "lncRNA (ENSSTOG00000033998.1)". The record is from RNAcentral. Lineage: Eukaryota; Metazoa; Chordata; Mammalia; Rodentia; Sciuridae.